RNAcentral lists this ribosomal RNA (497 nucleotides) under uncultured bacterium. RNAcentral's name for it is "partial 16S ribosomal RNA". It matches the Rfam family "Bacterial small subunit ribosomal RNA", at positions 28 to 507 of the family's 1533-position model. The record is from RNAcentral.
GACGAACGCUGGCGGCGUGCCUAAUCCAUGCAAGUUGAGCGAAGAAGUCGGGUGCUUGCCCCAAUUUGCAGCGCAGCGCACGUGUGAGUAACGCGCGGGCACACUGCCUUUGCGCGGGGGAUAACCUUUGGACACAGAUGCUACAACCGCAUCAUCACUUCACACACAAGCUUUAAGCUUGAAAGACGCCAUUGCAUCACUUAUAGCUGCACCCGCGUUGUAUUAGCUAGCUGGUGAGGUAAAGGCUCACCAAGGCGACGAUACAUAGCCGCCCUGAGAGGGUGCACGGCCACAGUGGAACUGAGACACGGCCCAGACUCCUGCGGGGGGCAGCAGUAGGGAACCUUCGGCCAUAGGCGAAAGUCUGACCGAGCCACGCCGCGUGCGUGGAGAAGGCUCUCGGGUCGUGAAGAUCGGUUGAUAGCGAAGAAGGGGGGGGGGACUGGAAAGCUCAUCAAGUGACGGUAACUACGCAGAGAGGGACGGCUAACUACGUG